UGAAUAGUUUUUUUAAGUGGGCAAAGAAAUGUUGAUAUGUUCAUAUUUUGAUGCAAUUAAUUAACUUAAUAAAUAUACUAAGCUUGGAUUUGAAAUGGUGAAAAAUACCAUCAAAUGCUAAGAUUAUAAUCUCAUUUUUAAAAUAUUUUAAAAUUCCUAUUUAAAGCCAAGUAUAAAUUGUAGCAUUUUCUAAUUUUUUCAUGUAUUGUGACAGCAAAUCUUGAUUGUUAAUUUGAUGGGCUUGGAAGAUGGCUAGAUUAGUAAUACUUCUGGAGGUUCUAGGUGUGUCAUGGAAGUAUAGCUUGGCAUACUUGGCUCCUUCCUCUCUAGAGCUUUUUUCUUGCUUUUUGGACACAAUGAGUUGAGCAGCUUUGCUCCAUGAUGAUUUUUCUGCCUUCAAGCCAGCCAACAAUAGACUGAAACCACUGAAACCUGGAGCCAAAUAAAAUUCUGUCUUUUUUAAGUUGUAGGUGCCAAGUUUUUUGUUUUUUUUUUUUAAGACAGUGUCUCACUAUGUAGUUUAGGCUGGCCUCAAACUCACUAUGUACUGCAGGCUGGCUUCAAACUCAGGGAGAUCCUCCUUCCUCAGCCUCCCGAGUGCUGGGACUACAGGCAUGCACCACCAUGCCUGGCUUAGGUGUCAGGUAUUUUGUCUCAACACUGUGAAAGCUGACUUUAUAUAUAUAUUAAAUAAAAUGUACUGCUGCAUAAAACUUUACCUCAAGCACAUAAGUAAUAAUGUAAAUAAUAAUGAUAGUAAUAUCAAUAUUAGCUAUGAUUUACUGAGCUUACUCUUUUGUCAGCAUUGUGCUAAAUUUUAUUUAUGCCUUUAUUGAACAAAAAGUUAUUGAUUCAUUUUUGUAUAUUAGAGUUGAAACAAGAUAAUUAAGACUUCAAAAUUGAUCAGAAAAAUCUUUCUAUUUGUAGUUCAGGGGAUUGAACCCAGGACCACACACUUGCUAUAUUGCAUAUGCAUGUGCUUUUGUGGACAGAAUGUCCAGGUUGCAGAAACCAGAAGACUCUGAGUAAGUUGUGUUUAUGUAAUAAUUUCUAAAAAUGGUACAAAAUGGGAGCAUUGAAAGAUGUUGUUUUCUAGGCUGGCAAAUAGAGUCAAGUCUUAGUUCAUAAAGUUAUAGAUAGGUCAAGGCAACUAGUUAUCUAUGGACCUUCUGUACAUAAUCACAUAUUGU
This 1190-nucleotide long non-coding RNA is filed under the name Heterocephalus glaber (naked mole-rat). Its description in RNAcentral is "lncRNA (ENSHGLG00000049728.1)". The record is from RNAcentral. Lineage: Eukaryota; Metazoa; Chordata; Mammalia; Rodentia; Bathyergidae.